GCCCUCGUAGCUCAAUGGACAGAGCACCUGACUACGAAUCAGGAGGUUGCAGGUUCGAGUCCUGCCGAAGGCAC
Molecule: transfer RNA, 74 nt
Rfam family: tRNA
About the family: Transfer RNA (tRNA) molecules are approximately 80 nucleotides in length. Their secondary structure includes four short double-helical elements and three loops (D, anti-codon, and T loops).